Non-coding RNA from Spirochaetes bacterium DG_61, 195 nucleotides. NCBI's taxonomy places the organism in Bacteria, Pseudomonadati, Spirochaetota. The record is from Rfam.
UCCAUCGUGAGGUGGAAUCUGAAGGAUAAGCCGUGCUGAUUCUUCGAAUCAGCUUGGCAAAGCGCUGGCCUGACGAAAAGAAACCGCAUAGGAGGCAGCCACACCUGGAUGAGAAGGCUAAUAUCUUUAAAGUCCCGUACCUGCACGGAAGGGGUGGUUGUAUAUGCGGUGGGCAUAAGCGUGGAGGUGGGUGCG